RNAcentral lists this ribosomal RNA (439 nucleotides) under uncultured bacterium. RNAcentral's name for it is "partial 16S ribosomal RNA". It matches the Rfam family "Bacterial small subunit ribosomal RNA", at positions 338 to 795 of the family's 1533-position model. The record is from RNAcentral.
CCUACGGCGGCAGCAGUGGGGGAUAUUGCACAAUGGGGGGAACCCUGAUGCAGCGACGCCGCGUGGGUGAAGAAGCGCCUCGGCGCGUAAAGCCCUGUCAGCAGGGAAGAAAAUGACGGUACCUGAAGAAGAAGCCCCGGCUAACUACGUGCCAGCAGCCGCGGUAAUACGGAGGGGGCAAGCGUUAUCCGGGUUUACUGGGUGUAAAGGGGGCGCAGACGGCGAUGCAAGCCAGGAGUGAAAGCCCGGGGCCCAACCCCGGGACUGCUCUUGGAACUGCGGGGCUGGAGUGCAGGAGGGGCAGGCGGAAUUCCUGGUGUAGCGGUGAAAUGCGUAGAUAUCAGGAGGAACACCGGUGGCGAAGGCGGCCUGCUGGACUGCAACUGACGUUGAGACCCGAAAGCGUGGGGAGCAAACAGGAUUAGAUACCCGUGUAGUC